GUCCUUUUGAGUUUAAUUUAAGGUCUAACCUGCCCACUGAAUUUUUAAAUGGCCGCAGUAAUUUGACUGUGCAAAGGUAGCAUAAUAAUUAGUUUUUUAAUUUAAAGCUUGUAUGAAGGGUUGGACGAAAUAAAAUCUGUCUCUAGUUAAUUAAAUUUAGAAUUUAACUUUUAAGUUAAAAGGCUUAAAUAUUAUUAAAAGACGAGAAGACCCUAUAGAUCUUUAUAAUUUAUUUAGUAAUUUUAAUUAAGAAUUAUUAAUUUUUUAUUAAAAAAAUUAUUUUAUUGGGGUAAUAUAAAGAUUAAAGUAAUUCUUUUUUUAUAUUAACAUAUAUUUAUGAUAUUAAUGAUCCAAUUUUAUUGAUUAUAAGAUUAAGUUACCUUAGGGAUAACAGCGUAAUUUUUUUUGAGAGUUCUUAUCGAUAAAAAAGUUUGCGACCUCGAUGUUGGAUUAAAGAUUAUUUUAGGUGUAGAAGCUUAAAAAUUUUGGUCUGUUCGACCAUUAAAUCUUUACAUGAUCUGAGUUCAGACCGGCGUAAGCCAGGUCGGUUUCUAUCUUUAAUAAAUUAAAAUAUUUUAGUACGAAAGGACCAAUUAUUUAAUAUAUUUAUAUUUAGAUUUUGAAUAUUAUUAA
Molecule: ribosomal RNA, 633 nt
Filed under: Leistus nitidus
Lineage: Eukaryota; Metazoa; Arthropoda; Insecta; Coleoptera; Carabidae
Description: partial large subunit ribosomal RNA
Rfam family: Bacterial large subunit ribosomal RNA (bases 387-546)
Source: RNAcentral